CCCUUAGAUGUUCUGGGCCGCACGCGCGCUACACUGACAGAGCCAGCGAGUUCAUUUCCUUGGCCGGAAGGUCCGGGUAAUCUUGUGAAACUCUGUCGUGCUGGGGAUAGAGCAUUGCAAUUAUUGCUCUUCAACGAGGAAUUCCUAGUAAGCGCAAGUCAUCAGCUUGCGUUGAUUACGUCCCUGCCCUUUGUACACACCGCCCGUCGCUACUACCGAUUGAAUGGCUUAGUGAGGCCUCCGGAUCGGGCCCGGGGAGCGGGCAACCGCACCUUGGGCCUGAGAAGCUGGUCAAACUUGGUCAUUUAGAGGAAGUAAAAGUCGUAACA
Molecule: ribosomal RNA, 329 nt
Filed under: uncultured eukaryote
Lineage: Eukaryota
Description: partial 18S ribosomal RNA
Rfam family: Eukaryotic small subunit ribosomal RNA
Source: RNAcentral